Molecule: long non-coding RNA, 191 nt
Organism: Bradysia coprophila
Lineage: Eukaryota; Metazoa; Arthropoda; Insecta; Diptera; Sciaridae
Source: RefSeq, a predicted model, not a curated record
ACUGAGAUUUACAAAAAAAAAUGCACGGAAAAGUUCGACUAAAAAUGAAAUUAGUUGCUAUGUACUGGUUGACUCUGGUCUACCGAGCAAUUAUAUGCACUAACAAGAAAUUUAAAAUUUUUACUGUAUGAAUGUGGACAACCUUCACUGAUUUUUUCACCAUCGGGAAGCUUUCUGGUCAUGUCUAGCUC